RNAcentral lists this ribosomal RNA (275 nucleotides) under uncultured bacterium. RNAcentral's name for it is "partial 16S ribosomal RNA". It matches the Rfam family "Bacterial small subunit ribosomal RNA", at positions 338 to 605 of the family's 1533-position model. The record is from RNAcentral.
CCUACGGGUGGCUGCAGUCGAGAAUCUUCCGCAAUGGGGGCAACCCUGACGGAGCGACGCCGCGUGCGGGAUGAAGGCCUUCGGGUUGUAAACCGCUGUCACAGGUUAAGAAGGGCUUGGCGUUAAUAGCGCUAGGCUUUGACGAAGGCCUGAGAGGAAGCCACGGCUAACUUCGUGCCAGCAGCCGCGGUAAGACGAAGGUGGCGACCGUUGUUCGGAAUCACUGGGCAUAAAGAGCACGUAGGCGGCAAGGUAUGUCGGGUGUGAAAUCCCUC